RNAcentral lists this long non-coding RNA (1205 nucleotides) under Gossypium barbadense (sea-island cotton). Its description in RNAcentral is "long non-coding RNA (GBAR_LNC012942)". Lineage: Eukaryota; Viridiplantae; Streptophyta; Magnoliopsida; Malvales; Malvaceae. The record is from RNAcentral.
UAAUAAAACCAAAGAUUAGACUAAGAUGAAACAUGCACCAAUGGUUAGGUAUCUAAAAUACAAAUAUCCCAAGCUUUGAAACGCGACAUUUAAACAAGGACCAAAUUGCAGCAAUGCAUAAACCACAGGGAAAAUGUAAAAACAAAUAAACAGAAUCAAGGCCGAAAAACAGAUCAAUGCAGGAUAGGAGGGACUCGUCGUGCAAAUUGACCAAUUAAGGUGAAAAGGCACGGAUCCGGGCCUCCAAACGGGUCAACGUGUGGAUCCUUUCUUUACCAAAUGGCGCUGUUUCAUAUGCUUCAGAAAAAAAAAGAGAAAAACCCUAAAUGAACCCUUAAUCUCCUUAAACAAAAAAAACUAAGCUUACUAUCUCUCUUAUUCAGCAGAAUUAAAAUCAUCGGCCAUUUUGCCUCUAUACUCGGUGGAUAACAGCAUAUGAAGGCUUAUCCUGGCCUUAUUCGACGCAAAUAUGAGGGUUUUGUUAUGCUCAACCUCAAUCCCCAUCUAGCUUCGAUUACCAUGAAGCAAACAAGGAUUCGAAACCUCCUAAGCAAAAUAAGUAUUUGUGCUUUCAUUUAUUUUAUUUUUUACAUACAAUAACAAAAGAUUAAAGAAAAAUGGAAGAGAAAACGAAAGAAAAAAAUAAGAUUUACAAUCACCUCUUCAAAACUGUUUUUCCUCUAGUCAAACUUUUUGUACAGAUUUGUAUGCGUAAAUCCCCCCCAAAUACACUGUUGCACUUGGCUUUUUAGAGCCAAAAAUGAAAAAAAUUAAACACACAUUUUCUGCUUUCUAUUUUCUCCUUUGCUGUAUUCAGUUGUGGUUUGUUAAUUUGUUGCAGGAGGAUCCAGUUGGAGGUGAUGGCGCACGUGGAGCGUGAAGCAAUGACGCGGGUGGAAGCUGGCACGAAGGCAGCAGCGACACAAGGGAAAGAAACCCUAGGGUUUCUGUUCAAAAGUGUCCUGGGCUGUUUGGGCAUUGGGCCACUAUAAUUGGGUCGGGUUUUAUUUGGGCUUGGUUUAGUUGUUGGGCUGUUGUAAAUGUACUAUGUACAAUUAUUAUUUGGAUUUUAUUUUGUUAUUUUGUUUUGCUUUUUUAUUUUGGUUCUGGUAUGGGCCCGGGAGAAAUAGGCCUAUUACAGCCCUAUUAUUUCACAUUUUUGCAAUUUAGUCAUUAUCACAUAAAAUUACAAAUUCAUGCAAUUA